UGGGGAAUAUUGGACAAUGGGGGGAACCCUGAUCCAGCCAUGCCGCGUGUGUGAAGAAGGCCUUAUGGUUGUAAAGCACUUUAAGCGAGGAGGAGGGUACUGGUAUUAAUACUACCAGCUACUGGACGUUACUCGCAGAAUAAGCACCGGCUAACUCUGUGCCAGCAGCCGCGGUAAUACAGAGGGUGCGAGCGUUAAUCGGAUUUACUGGGCGUAAAGCGUGCGUAGGCGGCUAAUUGAGUCGGAUGUGAAAUCCCCGAGCUUAACUUGGGAAUUGCAUUCGAUACUGGUUAGCUAGAGUGUGGGAGAGGAUGGUAGAAUUCCAGGUGUAGCGGUGAAAUGCGUAGAGAUCUGGAGGAAUACCGAUGGCGAAGGCAGCCAUCUGGCCUAACACUGACGCUGAGGUACGAAAGCAUGUGGAGCAAACAGG
This 430-nucleotide ribosomal RNA is filed under the name Pseudomonadota bacterium. RNAcentral's name for it is "Proteobacteria bacterium partial 16S ribosomal RNA". It matches the Rfam family "Bacterial small subunit ribosomal RNA", at positions 355 to 776 of the family's 1533-position model. The record is from RNAcentral. Lineage: Bacteria; Pseudomonadati; Pseudomonadota.